CCCCUACGGGACGCAGCAGUGGGGAAUAUUGCACAAUGGGGGGAACCCUGAUGCAGCGACGCCGCGUGAGCGAAGAAGUAUUUCGGUAUGUAAAGCUCUAUCAGCAGGGAAGAAAAAUGGCGGUACCUGAGUAAGAAGCACCGGCUAAAUACGUGCCAGCAGCCGCGGUAAUACGUAUGGUGCAAGCGUUAUCCGGAUUUACUGGGUGUAAAGGGAGCGCAGGCGGUGCGGCAAGUCUGAUGUGAAAAUCCGGGGCCCAACCCCGGAACUGCAUUGGAAACUGUUUAUCUAGAGGUGCGGAGGGG
RNAcentral lists this ribosomal RNA (305 nucleotides) under uncultured bacterium. RNAcentral's name for it is "bacterial SSU rRNA". It matches the Rfam family "Bacterial small subunit ribosomal RNA", at positions 336 to 657 of the family's 1533-position model. The record is from RNAcentral.